GGUAAAAUGGCUGAGCAAUAGGCGAUAAACUGUAAAUUUAUUUAGGAGAAUUUCUCUUUUACCA
This 64-nucleotide transfer RNA is filed under the name Hexacentrus unicolor. Its description in RNAcentral is "tRNA-Tyr". Lineage: Eukaryota; Metazoa; Arthropoda; Insecta; Orthoptera; Tettigoniidae. The record is from RNAcentral.